RNAcentral lists this transfer RNA (88 nucleotides) under Janthinobacterium sp. HH104. Its description in RNAcentral is "tRNA-Arg". The record is from RNAcentral. Lineage: Bacteria; Pseudomonadati; Pseudomonadota; Betaproteobacteria; Burkholderiales; Oxalobacteraceae.
GGCUGCUUCGGACAGGUUUUGCAGGAUCGCGCAGUCUUGCGACGGCUGCGACUGGUCGCACUGGUGGCGCAGGGUCACCAGUUGCUGC